GUGGGGAAUAUUGGUCAAUGGGGGAAACCCUGAACCAGCAACGCCGCGUGAAGGAAGAAGGCUUUCGGGUUGUAAACUUCUUUGACAGGGGACGAAACAAAUGACGGUACCCUGAAAACAAGCCACGGCUAACUACGUGCCAGCAGCCGCGGUAAUACGUAGGUGGCAAGCGUUGUCCGGCUUUACUGGGUGUAAAGGGCGUGUAGGCGGGACGGUAAGUCAGAUGUGAAAUGUAGGGGCUCAACCCCUGAACUGCAUUUGAAACUAUCGUUCUUGAGUGAUGGAGAGGCAGGCGGAAUUCCGUGUGUAGCGGUGAAAUGCUUAGAUAUGUCACAGAACGCCAAUCGUGAAGACAGGUUACAAACUUAAUACUGACGCUCAUGCACGAAAGCGUGGGGAUCAAACAGGAUUAGAAACCCGUGUAGUCC
Molecule: ribosomal RNA, 428 nt
Filed under: uncultured bacterium
Lineage: Bacteria
Description: partial 16S ribosomal RNA
Rfam family: Bacterial small subunit ribosomal RNA
Source: RNAcentral